Long non-coding RNA from Aquila chrysaetos chrysaetos, 1061 nucleotides. RefSeq lists it as uncharacterized. The record is from RefSeq and is a predicted model, not a curated record. The transcript is spliced from 4 exons. Lineage: Eukaryota; Metazoa; Chordata; Aves; Accipitriformes; Accipitridae.
UAGGGGAGAAGAAGGGAGGAAGCCGUUUUGGAUCAUGACUGCUCCUUGUUCUCUCCAGACUAUUCUUAAAUAAAAAAGGUGCUAAAAUUUUAAGGCUGUUGUCACUGCCUGAAAGGAAGAAGACACAGAAUAAAAAGGCAGUGAAGAGGCCGUAUAGAUAUGAUUUUUCUUCAGAAAUGAUGUUGUUGUUCUUCUGGGCUGCAGCUGGAAGGAAGCGUUGCUCUUUUCAAACACAUAAUCUAAAUGCAUCUGGAAAAGUGAAGAUGGUUUCACCUUUGAGCUAAGAAGCAGCCUGAGUGAUAAGCACACAAAAAAGAACAAGUCAUCUCGAGGGGAGAGGAUGAGCUGUAACCAUGGCAGCUGCAUGUUGGACCUUUCCCAGUAAGGGCUCGUGGCCACAAACCAGCAGGUCGGAGCCAGCACCUGAAAUUUGUGUGCUUCGUCUGCCAGUGCCUGUCAUCUCACCUGGCUGUCGCUCACAUCUCAAUACAGACAUCUCGUUGAAUUGUAGCCACUUGGGGAUAUCGACAUUAAUUUUCUUUGUAUCUAUGUACUGGCAUUUAUAUUUAUGCAUUAACAUCAUGUGCCACUGGCAUAUCUACAUUUGUUCUCUGAGAGCAUUUGCAAAUAGAUGUUCAAUUACCACCUUUCCUUUCCUCAGCAUUCAAAAUCGGGUUUAUUUUCAAAAACGGUCCUGAGGAUGUCUUUUGUGUAAUCCUGCUCUCCUGCAGCUGGGGCAGCCAGUCCCUGGAAACGGGCUGGCUAGUGAGUUUGAGGCUCCGUAUGAGAACAGCCUGCCUAAAACAAUAGACAUAUGACGUGGAUUAAUACAAAAUAUUAUCUCCCAUUUUCUGUAUUAUCAAAAUCAAAAGUACAGGCAAACUGAAAAUUUAUCAUAUUUUAAAUUUUAGCUAUUGAGUAUUCAUUUUCUCUUUUGCACAAAAUAAGACGUACAUACGUGUCUAGAUUCGCAAAGUUAACUUACUUCUCUGGCUAUAGUUAUUGCCACAUAAUGUUUAGGGUAGCUGCUAAUUAACUAAUAUUUCAGCUAUAGUUGUUCA